AUUGAACGCUGGCGGCAUGCCUAACACAUGCAAGUCGAACGGCAGCAUGACCUAGCUUGCUAGGUUGAUGGCGAGUGGCGCACGGGUGAGUAAUGCGUAGGGAUAUACCUUAAAGUGGGGGAUAACCUGGGGAAACCCAGGCUAAUACCGCAUGAGCUCUGAGGAGGAAAGCUGGGGACUGUAAGAGGCCUGGCGCUUUAAGAUUAGCCUACGUCCGAUUAGCUAGUUGGUAGGGUAAAGGCCUACCAAGGCGACGAUCGGUAGCUGGUCUGGGAGGAUGAUAAGCCACACUGGGACUGGGACACGGCCCAGACUCCUACGGGAGGCAGCAGUGGGGAAUAUUGGACAAUGGGCGCAAGCCUGAUGAAGCCAUGCCGCGUGUAUGAAGAAGGCAUUCGGGUUGUAAAGUACUUUCAGCGGGGAGGAAGGCGGUGAAGUUAAUAGCUUCACCGAUUGACGUUACCCGCAGAAGAAGCACCGGCUAACUCCGUGCCAGCAGCCGCCGUAA
RNAcentral lists this ribosomal RNA (508 nucleotides) under uncultured bacterium. RNAcentral describes it as "partial 16S ribosomal RNA". It matches the Rfam family "Bacterial small subunit ribosomal RNA", at positions 30 to 523 of the family's 1533-position model. The record is from RNAcentral.